GGCUCAGAACGAACGCUGGCGGCGCGUUUUAAACAUGCAAGUCGUACGAGAAUCCCGGUGCUUGCAUUGGGAGGAGAGUGGCGAACGGGUGAGUAACACGUGGAUAAUCUACCUCUAGGAUUGGGAUAACUACUCGAAAGGGUGGCUAAUACCGGAUAAGAUGGUAGCUGCAUAAGCAGCAGCCAUUAAAGAUGGGGACCGCAAGGCCUAUCACCUGGAGAUGAGUCCGCGGCCCAUUAGCUAGUUGGCGGGGUAACGGCCCACCAAGGCAACGAUGGGUAGCCGGCCUGAGAGGGUGACCGGCCACAUUGGGACUGAGAUACGGCCCAGACUCCUACGGGAGGCAGCAGUUAAGAAUCUUGCGCAAUGGGGGAAACCCUGACGCAGCGACGCCGCGUGGACGAUGAAGGCCUUCGGGUUGUAAAGUCCGAUAAGCAUGGAAGAAUAAGCAGCGGGUAAUAUUCGCUGUGAUGACGGUACCUGCCUAAAGCCCCGGCUAACUACGUGCCAGCAGCCGCGGUAAUACGUAUGGGGCAAGCGUUGUUCGGAAUUAUUGGGCGUAAAGGGCGUCUAGGCGGGGGAUUAAGUUAGGUGUGAAAUCCCUGGGCUCAACCCAGGAACUGCAUCUAAAACUGGUUCUCUUGAGUUCGGGAGAGGAGAGCGGAAUUCCCGGUGUAGCGGUGAAAUGCGUAGAUAUCGGGAAGAACACCAGUGGCGAAGGCGGCUCUCUGGCCUAGAACUGACGCUGAAGCGCGAAAGCGUGGGGAGCGAACGGGAUUAGAUACCCCGGUAGUCCACGCUGUAAACGUUGUGUACUAGGUGUUAGUGACUUGUUCACUAGUGCCGACGCUAACGCAUUAAGUACACCGCCUGGGGAGUAC
Molecule: ribosomal RNA, 881 nt
Filed under: uncultured bacterium
Lineage: Bacteria
Description: bacterial SSU rRNA
Rfam family: Bacterial small subunit ribosomal RNA
Source: RNAcentral